GAUGAACGCUGGCGGCGUGCCUAAUACAUGCAAGUCGAGCGAACGGACGAGAAGCUUGCUUCUCUGAUGUUAGCGGCGGACGGGUGAGUAACACGUGGAUAACCUACCUAUAAGACUGGGAUAACUUCGGGAAACCGGAGCUAAUACCGGAUAAUAUUAUGAACCGCAUGGUUCAAAAGUGAAAUACGGUCUUGCUGUCACUUAUAGAUGGAUCCGCGCUGCAUUAGCUAGUUGGUAAGGUAACGGCUUACCAAGGCAACGAUGCAUAGCCGACCUGAGAGGGUGAUCGGCCACACUGGAACUGAGACACGGUCCAGACUCCUACGGGAGGCAGCAGUAGGGAAUGUUCCGCAAUGGGCGAAAGCCUGACGGAGCAACGCCGCGUGAGUGAUGAAGGUCUUCGGAUCGUAAAACUCUGUUAUUAGGGAAGAACAUAUGUGUAAGUAAAUGUGGACAUCUUGACGGUACCUAAUCAGAAAGCCACGGCUAACUACGUG
This 497-nucleotide ribosomal RNA is filed under the name uncultured bacterium. RNAcentral's name for it is "partial 16S ribosomal RNA". It matches the Rfam family "Bacterial small subunit ribosomal RNA", at positions 28 to 507 of the family's 1533-position model. The record is from RNAcentral.